CCUACGAGAGGCUGCAGUGGGGAAUAUUGCGCAAUGGGGGCAACCCUGACGCAGCCAUGCCGCGUGAAUGAAGAAAGCCUUCGGGUUGUAAAGUUCUUUCGGUAGCGAGGAAGGCAUUUAGUUUAAUAGACUAGGUGAUUGACGUUAACUACAGAAGAAGCACCGGCUAACUCCGUGCCAGCAGCCGCGGUAAUACGGAGGGUGCGAGCGUUAAUCGGAAUAACUGGGCGUAAAGGGCACGCAGGCGGUGACUUAAGUGAGGUGGGAAAGCCCCGGGCUUAACCUGGGAAUUGCAUUUCAUACUGGGUCGCUAGAGUACUUUAGGGAGGGGUAGAAUUCCACGUGUAGCGGUGAAAUGCGUAGAGAUGUGGAGGAAUACCGAAGGCGAAGGCAGCCCCUUGGGAAUGUACUGACGCUCAUGUGCGAAAGCGUGGGGAGCAAACAGGAUUAGAUACCCUAGUAGUC
This 465-nucleotide ribosomal RNA is filed under the name uncultured Haemophilus sp. RNAcentral describes it as "bacterial SSU rRNA". It matches the Rfam family "Bacterial small subunit ribosomal RNA", at positions 338 to 795 of the family's 1533-position model. Lineage: Bacteria; Pseudomonadati; Pseudomonadota; Gammaproteobacteria; Pasteurellales; Pasteurellaceae. The record is from RNAcentral.